This 570-nucleotide ribosomal RNA is filed under the name uncultured bacterium. RNAcentral describes it as "partial 16S ribosomal RNA". It matches the Rfam family "Bacterial small subunit ribosomal RNA", at positions 355 to 912 of the family's 1533-position model. The record is from RNAcentral.
UGGGGAAUAUUGCACAAUGGGCGCAAGCCUGAUGCAGCCAUGCCGCGUGUGUGAAGAAGGCCUUCGGGUUGUAAAGCACUUUCAGCGAGGAGGAAGGUGGUGAAUUUAAUACGUUCAUCAAUUGACGUUACUCGCAGAAGAAGCACCGGCUAACUCCGUGCCAGCAGCCGCGGUAAUACGGAGGGUGCAAGCGUUAAUCGGAAUUACUGGGCGUAAAGCGCACGCAGGCGGUUUGUUAAGUCAGAUGUGAAAUCCCCGGGCUCAACCUGGGAACUGCAUUUGAAACUGGCAAGCUAGAGUCUCGUAGAGGGGGGUAGAAUUCCAGGUGUAGCGGUGAAAUGCGUAGAGAUCUGGAGGAAUACCGGUGGCGAAGGCGGCCCCCUGGACGAAGACUGACGCUCAGGUGCGAAAAGCGUGGGGAGCAAAACAGGAUUAGAUACCCCUGGUAGUCCACGCUGUAAAACGAUGUCGAUUUUGGAGGUUGUGCCCUUGAGGCGUGGCUUCCGGAGCUAACGCGUUAAAUCGACCGCCUGGGGAGUACGGCCGCAAGGUUAAAACUCAAAUGAAUUG